RNAcentral lists this ribosomal RNA (465 nucleotides) under uncultured bacterium. Its description in RNAcentral is "partial 16S ribosomal RNA". It matches the Rfam family "Bacterial small subunit ribosomal RNA", at positions 28 to 507 of the family's 1533-position model. The record is from RNAcentral.
GACGAACGCUGGCGGCGUGCUUAACACAUGCAAGUCGAACGGAAAGGCCCCCUCGGGGGUCCUCGAGUGGCGAACAGGUGAGUAACACGUGAGUAACCUGCCCUUGACUUCGGGAUAACUUCAGGAAACUGGGGCUAAUACCGGAUAGGAAUCCUUGCUGCAUGGUGGGGGUUGGAAAGCUUCGGCGGUUUUGGAUGGACUCGCGGCUUAUCAGCUUGUUGGUGGGGUAGUGGCUUACCAAGGCUUUGACGGGUAGCCGGCCUGAGAGGGCGACCGGCCACAUUGGGACUGAGAUACGGCCCAGACUCCUACGGGAGGCAGCAGUGGGGAAUAUUGCACAAUGGGCGGAAGCCUGAUGCAGCAACGCCGCGUGCGGGAGGACGGCCUUCGGGUUGUAAACCGCUUUCAGCAGGGGCGAAGCUUGUGGUGACGGUACCUGCAGAAGAAGCACCGGCUAACUACGUG